GUGUCAGAACUCCAGCGCGCAGGUUGCCUGGAGCCCAACCAAGGGACAAACAAAACAAUGAAGCUUUGCGAUUUCUCUUCGUUUCUCAGUUCGGGGAGCCUUAAUCCAGGACCGCCAGAUCUCCAUCCUGGGGCCUACUAGUAGACGUUAAUGAAAAAUAUAUGGAGCUGAACCCACCCACAUACUGAGCUCUGAAAGAUUUCAAGAUCUGGCAGAAGAUAACACUUUGAAAAAAAUAUAAAAUAUGUUAUACUGCAAAA
This is a non-coding RNA of Macaca mulatta (Rhesus monkey), 260 nucleotides long. The record is from RefSeq and is a predicted model, not a curated record. Lineage: Eukaryota; Metazoa; Chordata; Mammalia; Primates; Cercopithecidae.